AUUUUAGCCAGGAUGGUCUCGAUCUCCUGACCUCAUGAUCCACCUGCCUUGGCCUCCCAAAGUGCUGGGAUUACAGGUGUGAGCCACCGUGCCUGGCCGGUCCUUACCCCAAUCUUAUUAUAACAUUAGACAUCCUUCCUCCCUGGGGAAAAGUGAAUAUGGAGUGGAGAGAGGCCAUGAGUGUUCCACUAAUUGAUGCCCCUUCUUGAAGAAACCUGAAGCCUGAUGAAGCAAGGUUCCUCCGGCCUCACAAAAAAUGUUCCCCCUCAUAUUUCAGUUAUUUUCCUAUAACUGAUACAUACCAGUGUUAGAGGAUAUAGAAGUAUACCAUAGAAGUUAGGAGUGAAGUGCAUGAUUGCUCUCCAUGAUAAAGCGAGGGAGAUUCAGAUAUGAGUAUUGAGGAAGCGAUGGAUUCAAACAAUUUGAUAAAGACAUAAAGAGUGAGAUGAUCAAGAAGGUAUCUCUAGUGAGGGCAGGAGUGACUUACCAGAGAAAUUUUAGGAUUAGGUGUCUAGUCCUCAAUAUAAAGUUAUUUGCCUUAUUUCCAUCACCCCAGACUUUUAGUUAAGACUUCCAUAAUGACUUUCGUAGUAUGUUGGGGAUGGAAAUCAAGGAACAGGGAUAAGUCCCUGGACAGGACAAAGAGGAAAAGAGCAGCCUUGCCGGGUAGGAUAGAUACCAGUAAGACUAGGCAUUCAGGUCAGGUGUGGUGGCUCAUGCCUGUAAUCCCAGCACUUUGGGAGGCCAAGGCAGGCAGAUCACUUGAGGUCAGGAGUUCGAGACCAGACUGGACAAAAUGGUGAAACCCUGCCCCUACUAAAAAUACAAAAAUUAGCUGGGCAUGGUGGCGGGUGCCUGUAAUCCCAUCUACUCGGGAGGCUGAGGCAGGAGAAUCACUUGAACCAGGGAGGCGGAGGUUGGAGUGAGCCGAGAUCACACCACUGCACUCCAGCAUGGGCAACAGAGCAAGACUAUGUCUCAAAAAAAAAAAAAAAAAAAAAAAAAAAGGACUGGGCAUCAGUGGAAUUAGAACUCAAAGGCCAGAGUAACAGUGGUAUGGAGAAGAAUUAAUACAGAUUGUUGCCACAUACCACCAAAGAGUGCCAAUCAGGAUAUUUCAAAAUUAUGUUAGACUAUGAACUAGAGUGGGGUUAGCAAACCUUUUCUGUAAAGGGCUAGAUAGGAAAGUGCUAUACACUGUUUCCCUCUUUUUUUGCAGACUCUGUUAACUCUGUUAACUACUUGACUCUGCCAAAAAAAGAGGGAAACAGUGUAUAGCAUAUGUUCUCAUUAUGAGCACACUCCAGUCCUUUUUAUAAAAAAGUAGGAAUAAGCAAAUUAUUUUUAAAAAUCAAAUAAUAAAACAUUGACACUGUAGUCCACAGUCUUCUUUCUUUGGGGGACAUAAAGAUUCCAGGGGCCUUCACUGUUAACAGAGGUUGAGCAAACGAGCUUUCUUAAUGAGACCACAGCUGCAAUAAGAACAUGAACAUGGAAGGGAGGGCUCCUCAGAAGCACAGAGUAACUCUCAGUAUCUUAGCCAAGCCAAAGUGAUUAAACUGUGCCAAGAGAUACAGUUUAACACUCUAGUUUUUAUCUUACUGUGGUGAAGACAUUCACAAAGGGCAAAGCACACGCUCCCGCUAACACACAAAUCUUUUGUGUUUGGGAUGUAAGGACAAUCAGACACAAGCUCUGGUGUAGGACAAAAGCAAUAACCUCUGGUUAUUUAUAUAAACUCUGAUCUCUGGCGUUCAAUUUAGCCAGACUUCAAAACACAAAUGGUAGAAGUCAAGCCAAGGAAAGGGACUUCCAAAAGCAAGCCUUGAGGCCAGGGCUAUACCAGGCCAACAAACCUUACUCCUUGUGCUCUGAAGCCAAUACAAGCUCAUAAAACCUGUUUAACAGCCAAGCCUAGGGUGCCUCCUGCCUGUUAUGAUCCAUGCUUAGGGCUGUCCAGCCCAUCAUGCCCCUUCACAUGUCAGUAUUGGCAUAUCCAAGGCUGGUUCCAGAUAAAACAAAUGGCCUGAGGCACCUCACCCUCCUCACACUCAUGGACAGUUCCAAGCUCUCCAGCCCUACAUCUACUUUGCAUUCUGUUGCUCUACUGGCCGUGCUGCUGACCCCAGCUAUUAUCGUCUAGUGAGCCUUCACCAUGCACAAGGGACAGGCAGCUGUGCAGAUCUGAGUACCCAGGUGGAAGCCACAGUUGAGGCCUAUUGACUUUUAUCUUAGAGAUAAAGUCCUGUUCCCCCACCACUCCCCAGUGUGGGUCAUAUGUAAAGGAAUGUAACUCUUUGAGAGUCUCCAGUCAACUCUUUGAGCAUAUCCUUGACCACUCUCCUUGGGAGGCCCUGGCACCUGGGUCUAGGUAGUGGGUUGGUUUGUCUGAUGGUGGAGCCACCACUGUCUCCUUGAGGUUCCCGCUCCCUGACCCUGGCUAUAAUAUCCCCUCACAGACUGGUUUACGCAAUGGCCUCACCCCUCAGCUUGUCAGGUAUUCAGGAUCCCCCACCUACCUAUCUGCUACCUCCUCACCUAAUCUCUCUAUCCAGAUGACGCUAGCCUUGCAGGUGGGAUCCAGAUGGACAAGUGAUAUGUGUUGCUUUAAGGUGGCUCUUUUCCCUACACUGUUAUUCAGUACGGCUCUGCAGAAUUAUCUUCCAGAAUAAGUUAUAGGCUUCUUUUAGCAAAGAGCCAUGGUCUACACUUCCUUAUUUUCCUCUUAGCAGUUACCAUGGAGUUGGUUGCUUGACUUCGUGGAUUCCAGUAUGGAGGAGAAAAAACCAGGAGUUAGGAUAUAGAAAAAUGACAUUUCAAGAGUUGGGAGAAAAAUCAACUAGAGAAAAAUGUGGACAUCAUUAGACAGUAAUAUCUCUGUGACCAAACAUAUGUAUUCACUGCCAGAAAUCAUAGUAAUAACAACAACCAUAGUGCUAAGGCUGUACUAACUUACUAGCACAUACUAUUACUAUGAUAAUAGUAAUAACAUUACCAUUGUUAGUACUAUGUACUAUUACUAUUGUAAUGUUGUUACAAUAUUAACAACAUUAAUAUUAAUAUUGUUGUUAAUAUUGUAACAACAUUGCAAUAGUUGUUGUACUCAAGUUAUUUUUUCUUAUAAUCACAAUAGGCCAAUGAUGUAAGGACUACUAUUAUCUCCGUUUUAUAUUAUCUCAUUUUAUAGUUGAAGGGUGAGGUUUCCACAGGCAGAGUAAUUUUCCUAAGGCUAUGCAACUUCCAAAGUGAUGGACCUAGAUCACAAACCCAGUUUCAUUUGGUUCCAAGGCCUUCACAUUUAACUUCCACAUUUGAUUGCCUCCCAGUAUUUGUGAGUAAAGAAAAUAAAACAGGGACUGUCCAAAUGGGAAUGGGUAAAAAUAAGGGCCAGGUUGUUUUAGGACCUGCCAAAAUUAGGUGCAUUGGUUUGGAUGCAUUCAGGUACAAGGAGCAGAAUAACCAACUCCCAGGGGCUUAAGAAAUAAAGAACUUUAGUCAUCUCACAUGCCUAGUUGAGGACAGGCAGUUCUGUGCCUGGUACAAUGGCUUACAGACACCUAUGAUCCAGGCUCUUUUUAAACUUCCACUCACCAUUCCUGUUGGCUUUUGAUCCUGGUUUCUGUCUCUUUACCAGCACAAGAUGGUCACCACAACACCAAACAUGACAUCCUGGCCCCAGAAUCCCAAACAGGAUGGAGAGGGCGGCAGAAGCAAGUUCUCCUCAUUAAUAAUGUCUUUCUCUUCACUGAGAAAGCAAGAUCUUUCCCAGAAGCCCCCCAGCAGACCUUCCCAUCUGUCUCAUUGGCCAGAGUCCUAGCAGCAAGGGUGGCUGGGACAGUGGCAAGGAAAGUACCUCAGCAAAGGCUGGGCACAUUGCCACCCAGAACCUCACAAAGGUUCUGCAAACCAGGAAGUGGGAAGUUGGCAGAUGGAUGGCCAGUGACAGUACAUGCAUUUUGAGAUGCCUCCUCUCUCAGGCAAGAUUGGGCUCAGCUUCUUUUUUUAAUGUCAUGGGAUGAAAACUGCAGGACACUGAGACAGAGACCUAUAAAAUCCUGUGCUCACAAUUCCUGGGUAUUAUCCAUUCAGCUCCUGCCCUCUGCCCAAGUAGGAACCUUCAAUGCCCCAGAAGCAGCUCCGUGUACUCAGUUUGGGAUAUGAGGAAAGUGCCUGCCAUCUGGAACUCAGCCACUGCUAUCAUAAUCGGUCAAACACUCUGGGAAGCAAUGGUGUUCUGAUUUCUUUUACUGCACAGCUUCCAAUAAAAUUUGUGGCCCAGGUGUGACAACCAAUAGAACUCUUUCACUUUAUUCUUGUCUCUGAGAUUCUGGUUUCUACUUGCUUUCUAAAAGAAACAUAAAAGGCAAGUAAGCAUGGCGUGUAAAAGUGAAGGGGGUGGGCUUCCCAUGGGAUAUAUGAUGAUUUUCUUCCUUUGUUGUAAACAUAUGAUAUAGGAAGUUGCGUGAGAAUCUUGCUUAAAACAAUAGUGACAACCUUUUAACCCCAUCUGCUUCCCAUUAAUGGGAAAAGCCGUUACAUGGUAGUGUCAAGGGGCCUCUGGAUUUUCUCAAGGCUUUACCAUAAGACAGAUGCUUAAGACAAAAUCCUCCAACCCUUUGGUUCUAAUCCUCCCCUUCUUAGUCCAUUCAGAAAGCACAGAAGGUAAUGGCAUCUGGCCGAUACUCAUGAGGGCUGGGUUGGUAAAGUGAAAACCUUUCUGUGCUGUGACAAAUUUCACUGGCUGUGCUUUAGGUAGUUUGCAAAGCACAAAGUUAAGUUUCUGGAUGAUAUGUUCAUGAUUAACAAACCAGAUUAUAAUGCCCUUUCCAGAGUGAAUUCUAGUUCUUAGGAUUACUUUGCAGAUUUAAAAACAAUAAAUAUUUAUUAAAUAUCUGUUAUUUACCAAGGUCACACCUCUAGGGCCUUGUCCCGUGUGUUUUCUGAACCACUGGCGUGGAUGACUUGAUGAGUCACUCAUGAAUCAGAAAAUUGCAAAAUAUCAUCUUCACUGAAUUUUAUGUCAGCACAGACUCAGUCAGAGUUGAAUAUGGACUCCCUGGUUUCUGGGAAGGCAGAGAUAUUUCAAAAACAUUUCCAGGAAGGCAAUCAAGUGCUCCUUUUGAUGCAUUUGCCAAGUGGGACACAAAAUAGACCUAUAUUUGUAAAUAACAAUCUUUUUCAAACACUGCCAUGGGGAUAUGCCCAGCUUAUAGUGAUCCUUAAAAUAUGUAUUGUGAAGUAAUAAUCCACCUAUGUUUCAGUAAUUUCCAAGUGUUUCUCCAGCCUUGACUCCAACCAUGAACCUCAGAUUCACACACUCAAGCACCUUCAAUCUACACUAGAGCCCGAGUAAUCAACCUAAAGCACUCUCCUUCCAUAAUCUCUUCUAUGACUCCGCAUCACCUUCAGAGUAAUGACCCGCCUCCCCAGCACAGCCUGACUACAAGUUCCUCCCUGACCCUGCCUCCACCCUCUGGACUCACCUGCUACUAUUUGCCCCAUCUCUGAACACCAAAGUUUUUGUAGUUCCCAAUACAACACCCUUUUCCUUGUCUCUGCUCUAACCAUGCUCUGUUCCCUCUGCACAGAAUGCCCUUCCCUCCGUUUGCCAGCUUCUUCUUACCUAUCAUGCAUGACUCAUAUACAUCAUGUCUCUGGAGGGUCUUCCUCGAACCCCCGGGCUGAAUUAAUUACCCCUCUUCUGGAGCACUGCAUAUGUAGCCCUGUCUUAACAUGGACCACUUUGUGUUAAAAUUAUCAAAAAGAUGUUUCCUCCUCUGGACUUUAAACAAAUUUUGCUUAGCUUUUUGCCCAGAGUCCCUAGCAUAGUAUCUGACUCUUGACAGGCACGUAAUACAUGCUUGUUGAACUUCAACUAAAGCGAUCACAGCAUCUUUCUUUUGUGCCUAGAAACAAGCAGAAUGAAAGUGGAAAAGAAAAAUUACAGAGCUAAAAUUUAGACACUGAAGAGGUCUUAUUUGAGGUCAAAUUUAAGAGGACUUUGUCCUGAUCACUUUUUGGAUGGCUUUAGACUCUCCACAUGUGGCUGUAGCAAUUCCAGACUCCCACUGCACUGUUCCAGUUAUCUUUUGCUGCAUAACAAACUACCCCAAAACUUAGUGGCUUAAAACAGCAACUUUUUUUUCUUUUUUUUCUUUUUGAGAUGGAGUCUCAUUCUGUUGCCCAGGCUGGAGUGCAAUGGCGCGAUCUCGGCUCACUGCAACCUCUGCCUCCUGGGUUCAAGCGAUUCUGCCGCCUCAGCCUCCCAAGUAGCUAGGAUUACAGGCACCUGCCAUCAUGCCUAGCUAAUGUUUGUAUUUUUGUAGACAUGGGGUUUCAC
Molecule: long non-coding RNA, 6340 nt
Filed under: Homo sapiens (human)
Lineage: Eukaryota; Metazoa; Chordata; Mammalia; Primates; Hominidae
Description: non-protein coding lnc-GALNT15-1:1
Source: RNAcentral